CAGGAUGAACGCUAGCGGCAGGCCUAACACAUGCAAGUCGAGGGGCAUCGGGAGUAGCAAUACUUGCCGGCGACCGGCGCAAGGGUGCGUAACGCGUGAGCAACAUGCCCGUAUCAGGGGGAUAAUCCAUGGAAACGUGGUCUAAUACCCCAUAGUAAUUAUGUAAGGCAUCUUAUAUAAUUUUAAAGCUUUGGUGGAUACGGAUUGGCUCGCGUGACAUUAGCUAGAUGGUAAGGUAACGGCUUACCAUGGCUACGAUGUCUAGGGGUUCUGAGAGGAAGGUCCCCCACACUGGAACUGAGACACGGUCCAGACUCCUACGGGAGGCAGCAGUGAGGAAUAUUGGACAAUGGAUGGAAAUCUGAUCCAGCCAUGCCGCGUGCAGGAAGAACCGGCCCUAUGGGUUGUAAACUGCUUUUGUAUGGGAGCAAUAAGGGCUACGCGUAGUCCGAUGAGAGUACCAUACGAAUAAGCACCGGCUAACUCCGUGCCAGCAGCUGC
This 501-nucleotide ribosomal RNA is filed under the name uncultured bacterium. RNAcentral's name for it is "bacterial SSU rRNA". It matches the Rfam family "Bacterial small subunit ribosomal RNA", at positions 25 to 518 of the family's 1533-position model. The record is from RNAcentral.